This 484-nucleotide ribosomal RNA is filed under the name uncultured bacterium. RNAcentral's name for it is "partial 16S ribosomal RNA". It matches the Rfam family "Bacterial small subunit ribosomal RNA", at positions 30 to 507 of the family's 1533-position model. The record is from RNAcentral.
AUUGAACGCUGGCGGCAGGCCUAACACAUGCAAGUCGAGCGGAUGAAGGGAGCUUGCUCCUGGAUUCAGCGGCGGACGGGUGAGUAAUUCCUAGGAAUCUGCCUGGUAGUGGGGGAUAACGUCCGGAAACGGGCGCUAAUACCGCAUACGUCCUGAGGGAGAAAGUGGGGGAUCUUCGGACCUCACGCUAUCAGAUGAGCCUAGGUCGGAUUAGCUAGUUGGUGGGGUAAAGGCCUACCAAGGCGACGAUCCGUAACUGGUCUGAGAGGAUGAUCAGUCACACUGGAACUGAGACACGGUCCAGACUCCUACGGGAGGCAGCAGUGGGGAAUAUUGGACAAUGGGCGAAAGCCUGAUCCAGCCAUGCCGCGUGUGUGAAGAAGGUCUUCGGAUUGUAAAGCACUUUAAGUUGGGAGGAAGGGCAGUAAGUUAAUACCUGGCUGUUUUGACGUUACCAACAGAAUAAGCACCGGCUAACUUCGUG